RNAcentral lists this ribosomal RNA (382 nucleotides) under uncultured bacterium. RNAcentral's name for it is "partial 16S ribosomal RNA". It matches the Rfam family "Bacterial small subunit ribosomal RNA", at positions 355 to 729 of the family's 1533-position model. The record is from RNAcentral.
UGGGGAAUUUUGGACAAUGGGCGAAAGCCUGAUCCAGCAAUGCCGCGUGUGUGAAGAAGGCCUUCGGGUUGUAAAGCACUUUUGUCCGGAAAGAAAUCCUUGGCUCUAAUACAGUCGGGGGAUGACGGUACCGGAAGAAUAAGCACCGGCUAACUACGUGCCAGCAGCCGCGGUAAUACGUAGGGUGCAAGCGUUAAUCGGAAUUACUGGGCGUAAAGCGUGCGCAGGCGGUUUGCUAAGACCGAUGUGAAAUCCCCGGGCUCAACCUGGGAACUGCAUUGGUGACUGGCAGGCUAGAGUAUGGCAGAGGGGGGUAGAAUUCCACGUNUAGCAGUGAAAUGCGUAGAGAUGUGGAGGAAUACCGAUGGCGAAGGCAGCCCCC